ACAUUCUAAUCAUCAUGAAAGCCUUCACGGAGCUUCCCAAAGCUCGGAUGUGACAAAGGCACAAGGCCAACAGUAGAGUGGAUGAAAAGAGGUCUGGUAUUUGUGAUGGAAAAUAAAAAAGCAGAUGUCAUGUAAGCCAGUCCAUCUUCCUAUAGGAGCUGCCAUUGCUGCACCACCUGCAGAGCAGAUCAUCCAUCUGUACACCCAUACAGCUGCAAGUGACCUAGAAUUACGCAUCCUGAGAUCAUGCUAGACCAAAAGAAGGUGAUUUUUUUAACUAUGUGUUGCUCUCAUGUCUGGUCAUGUUUCACGAGUAUCUUUGCCCUUUGGAUUCCCAAACCCUAGAAGCUGGGGGGCAGGGGGAGGGGUGGCUGCUACAGGCAUUAUUCAGUGCUUCCCUUUGUUUUCUAUUUUAGAGUAGGAGAUUGAGAAUUCUUCUGGUGAUGUAUGGGACAAAAGCAUAGCUAUGAAAGAUGCAGCUGUGGCACCGUUACAAUUCAUUUGCCUUAGAAGGCCCUUUAGGA
RNAcentral lists this long non-coding RNA (524 nucleotides) under Numida meleagris (helmeted guineafowl). RNAcentral describes it as "lncRNA (ENSNMEG00000014005.1)". Lineage: Eukaryota; Metazoa; Chordata; Aves; Galliformes; Numididae. The record is from RNAcentral.